Molecule: long non-coding RNA, 3411 nt
Organism: Triticum aestivum (bread wheat)
Lineage: Eukaryota; Viridiplantae; Streptophyta; Magnoliopsida; Poales; Poaceae
Exons: 3
Source: RefSeq, a predicted model, not a curated record
GGCCACGACUAGGCACAGACAUCCCCCGCCCCGAACUCUCUUCCCCAAACUACCCAUCCCAUCUCUCGCGAGAAAAAUUCCCUACCGCCGUCCAGAUCGGAGAUCACCUCGGCCUCCUCCACCACGCGCCCGCUUCCUCCCAUGGUCGUGUCCUCCCGACCCACCCUCCUCUUCGCUCACCACGCCGGCGCAGGCGGUCACGCGGGCGUCCAUUGAUCUGCAACUCUCACCGCCUUCAUAACGCUCAAGCGCCGCCCACGGAUAGACGAUGGCUUCAGCCGUGUCAACGAGGUCGAGGAGUCCCUUGACCUAGCCCUUGCCCUCACCUUCGUCGGAGGCCUCGCCCAUCUCGAUGGGGCUGGUUACUUAUCUCUCGGGGAUGCCCUGCCCUCCCCUGGCGUGCUGGGGACCGAUGAUGCCCUGCCUUCCCCUGGCGUGCUGGGGAUCUGGUGGCGCCCGUCGAACGUCGAGAGGUGGCACAGCCCCGCCACACACUUGUUCCUCCUCCUCAGGAUCCUCAAUUCCUCAUCUAAAAGGUUUUGCCUGCUUGUGAUAUUUCCCUCCUUCAUGGAUGUAUGGAACUGCGUGAAUGGGACAGCGAAGCCACUGUCAUGAAACUUGCAGAAUGAUGACAGAGAUAUCGAAAGAUUUUCUAAAAUGAGGUGUGAAAUAAAAGGCAAAUGUGAAGCUCUUGCAUCAAUCCUCAGACUGAUUCCUGCAAAUUUUCCUACAGAACUACAACAUGGUAGUCUUGAAGUAAAUACCAUUUCUUUUAUUUUCUAUGUGUUGUUAGCACAAUAGAUAGUUAAUAUUGUUUUUCCUCUCAAGUUCAAGAUGAAGACGACCAGUUAAGAAAACAGUUUGGUGAGAUAGAGUGGCAGGUUUGCUAGAAUCACUGUAGCUGCUUCUGCCGCAAACUUACGUUCAUGCCUAUGACAUCUUCUGGGAUCUUUGUUUUAGGAAACUAUUUUGUUUACACCUUCCUAUUGGCAUGUCUAUGGCAGCAGUGAAACUUAAACGAACACUUCUAGGCUAGAUAUUAUUAAUGUGUACAUAUAUUGGUCCUUUACAUGGAUCUUGCCAUCUUUAUUUGCCAGUCAUUUCAACUAUUUGACAAACUUGAAGGCAAGCUCAAGGAAAUGCAUCAUUACCUUUUAGUAUUAUUUUUGAGUUGUUGGAAUCAAUCUGGAAAACAUCUUCCUAUUGUAGAUACAAUAUUUGCUGGUUUGUAGUCUGAUACUCUGUUUGACAUUACAAAUUACGGAAAUACUUAGAUUAUGCUUAUGCCACUGUGCUGAUAGAGAUUGGCUACUUAAUAGUAUGGAGAUGACAAGAUCGAGAAGGACGGUGUUAUAAGGAAAGCGGGGAGUGGAGGAGGAAGAAAGUUGGGAUGCCAAUUAUAAAUAGGUUAAUACUUCAAAUCUUUAUGCACUGAGGUAUUCUUUGUGUUAGAAAUAAUUGUUUAAAAGGCUCAUGAUUUUGGCGAAACUGUAUGAUGUAUGUGUGCUCCUUCACAUGGACAAAUAUGAAAGGGUACCCAUUAUGAAAUCAUAGACCAGUGAUGUAUCAUUUCUUUGUCUUUCUUAUUGCAAAUAUGGCUCACAGGGCCGCGCUCUCAUUUGAUUUUGAUGAUGAUGAUGAUGAUGAUGAUGAUGAUGAUGAUGAUGAUGAUGAUGAUGAUGAUUGGAACCAAGAGGAGGAAGCAAGUAAGUUUCAUUUGAUUUUCUAUUCAUGAGGUUACAGUAACAAGAUAUGUAAAGUCUGGAUUGGUUUACUUAUCACUUGUAUGUCCCAUACUUGCAGUUUUUUAGUACUUUCGUCUUGUUGCCUCUCAGUGUAUCACUAAAUAAUCAGUGUUUUUGGGUACUUGCUUGUUGUUGCCUUUCAGUGUAUCACUAAAUAAUCAGUUGACCGGUGUUGGCAAUGUUGCAUCGAUCCUAUUUAUUUCUGGUUCUGUAUGCCUCCCAAGCUACAACUUAUACCCAAAAUUAUUAGCAUACAAAUUGGUAUCAGUUGUGGGAGACUCGGCCAUGCCGACAAUGCCUCCAAUGUGGUGGCGGUCAUGGUGGACGCCACCAUGUGAGCUUCAGCUCAUCGUGGUGUAGCCGGAGCGAUUUCCUUCGCUGUUGAAGUCCGGGAAGAUUUUUAUGUGAAUGCAAUCCUGUUUUGCUAGGUCCCUAGCAUUAUUAAUUUUAUUUUUCUGCCAAUAACAACCAAGUAAUGUGUGCAUGUCCACGUCUUGGAGUAAUUCUCGGUUAGUUAGAUCUGACCGCUGCAUGUGCUUCGUGGGAUGCCACGAAUCCAAUGCAAGCAGCGUUAUUGUCGUUGGGUUCAGGUGGACAUGGGAUGGUUCAUUUGAUAUACCUACUCACUAGCUACUUUCUCUCUUUUUCAGUAGCACUUGACCAUAUAAAUAAGAGAAAAAAACCAGAAAACGCUGCAAGAUUUUUACGCAAUGCAAAUUACUUGUCUGCGUGCUCGCGCGUGUUUAUACGUGCGCUUGUUCUUUUGUGUCCAAAUACUUGUGUAGUGUUGUGAGAGAGAUUCUGGAACUUCAGUUUUUGUCAUGCAGUUCCUUAAAACGUAUACAUCUCUUGCAUCCUUUAGAUACAUCAUGUGUACAGGUAUAUGUACAGGGAGCAAGUGCCACAUUGCUACAUUUAAUGCUUUGGUGUGCUCUCACGCUCCAUGCCAUUGUCCCACGCUCCAAACUGUAGAUAUUGACUAUGAUAUGAAAUUGUAAUUGCUCAUAAUUUAUAUUUUUGACACAAGGCAGGAGCCAAGAACAUCUAUGUGACAUGGAAGCUCUUAAUAAUGGUUAGCGUAUGGUUCGCAAGUUAUUUCUCUGGUUCAUCUCAAAUUGAGCGUCUUGAUACUUCAUAUGAAUAUUUGGUUGUAACAAAUUGUUUUCCGCAAGUCACAAUUUUUUGUAUGCAAGAAAUAUGUAUAAAAUUCCUCAAAGCAUUGUAGAUAAGCAGCUUCAUAUGUCUGAGUGUCUGAUAUGCCUUUCUUUUUCAGUUUUUCCUGCCAGCAAGAAAGCAAGUGACCUAUUUAAUCUCAGAGAUAUGUCCCAUUAUCAGUUUUGAGGAGUCAUUGUUCCAGUCACACAAAAUGUUGACAGAUGUAUCAUUUACAAUGACCAUUCAAUUGUAAUUUCAGUGCCAUGUCAUAAAAUUUCAAUUCACCAGUUCAACCCCUUCCAUAAGAUAUUGGAUCAACAGUUGGAAGUGAACCGUGCAAUACAUCACUCUAAUAUUAGUUAUAAUUGGCUGACCAUGUAGGAUGUACCGCUUGUGAUGUAUUACACUCCAUAUCUCCUUACAAUUUGUAGCGUGAAAUUUUUAUUCCUCUCAUUUGUCCAUUUUUUUGUUCUAUCUCUUAAACUGGUGAAUAGGAAGUUAUGUUGUUUCA